RNAcentral lists this ribosomal RNA (166 nucleotides) under Narceus americanus. RNAcentral describes it as "partial 12S small subunit ribosomal RNA". Lineage: Eukaryota; Metazoa; Arthropoda; Diplopoda; Spirobolida; Spirobolidae. The record is from RNAcentral.
GAAACAGGGUGGAAGACUUUUAGUAAGGUGGAUUUAUAUGUAAGUGCUUACUAGGAUGAAGCACUGAAAAAGCUCUGAAAUAUGCACAUAUCGCCCGUCAUUCUUGUCUUUAGAUGAGACAAGUCGUAACAUAGUAGAGGUAUUGGAAAAUGUUUCUUGAAAGGCA